AGAGGGAGAGAAAUAAGGUUCUGGCCUUUUGGCUGCAAUCAAGUGUCUCCGCCUCUUGUGGGCUAAGAUGGGAGUAUAUGAAGUCCCAGGGUGGGUGGAGACUUCUGUUAAGACUUUUAUAAGUGCUCUUGGCACUAUCAAGACAUCAAGAUGUAACCCCUGUACACUGUGCUACUUCCCUGGACUGACAGGACUGGAAGGGAUAACACAACAAUCCACCCACCAUCUCUCUAUUGUACAUGUAAAGUUUGGAGUCACGUCCUUGACCAGUAAUGGAUGGCGAGUACUUUAUUAACCAUUGAACUUGCAUUCACCAGAAUGAAUUGGAGAAAUAAUUACAACACCUGCAACUGGAGGAUGAGUCAACCCUUGAUGAGACUCACUUGCUGAGUGAGUUAAAAGAACUGAAGCAGCCCUUAAAGUUAGCAAAUCAUCACUUCUGAAACAAUCUAGUACUAAUGUGCAAACAGUAAAUAGAAAUGAUCUUCAGAACAACAGCCCAUAACUGUAGAUAAACAGAAAUGCAGGCCACACUACAAAACUGUUUCAAUGUGUUGUUGCCCCCCCACACACCCUUCAGAAUGCAAAUUGCAAACAAUGUAAUCAAAAGGGUAUUUUGCUAAAGUGUGCAAAUCUUGCAUAGCUUAACUAAGCAUAAACUAGCGUGAUGCUAAAAAGAAGACUGAUAUGGAUUCUGUUCUCUAUAUGACCUCAAAAAAGGAUAGAGGCCACUUUAAUUAAUAGCUAUUCAGUAAUAAUACUCAGUAGGCUCCAUCUCCAGUUUCUGUCACUCUGGAACAUUUAUCCAUAUUUAAAAAAUACAUGCCCUGUAUAUUCCCCCCACAUCUCCUUUCUUACCAAAUCUUGUUUUUUCUUUCUACAUAUUUAGAUAAUCUGAUCCUUUCUUUCUUUCCCAUUGUGUAUAGCCUAUAGUUAUCUACUAAAAUAGCCUUCUCUCAGGUGUCCCUAAGACCCAGAUCAGUACCACUCAAUUUAUCCAAUGAUUAUCUUCUUGUCUACUAAUCAAAUCAUGCUGCUUCACACUUGAAAGUUCUCUGGAGGUAUCAAGUUUAAAUAUGCCAUCCUGUCAAGCCUAGGAACAGCCUCUCAGAGCCCAGCUGUUCUGCCUUGGCAUUUUACUCUAAGCAGUGGUGCUACCUGCAACAAUUCCUUUGAUUGCUUGUAUCACUCUGAAUUUGCCUAUUCUCCCAUAGCAUCACUUCCAAGGUGUCCCACUCCCGCUACUCUUCAUUUAGAUAUUUUUUGAAGGCUUGUUCCUCAGUGAGUAAAUAAAGAAAUUUAAAAUAUUAAUUAAAAAAACCCUUUAAAGCAGAACAAAUAUGAAUCUCUGCUUUAAAGAUUGUUUUUUGGAUAUUUGUUCUGCCAUCCAUGAUCUCACAGAACAUGACACCCUCCUUUACAAUUGUGAUUGAACAGCAUACUUGUGGAGAUGACAGUGACAUCGAGCAAAAACACUAGGAAAGUUUUUGUACUUCAGCAUGGUGUACAGCUGCAAACAAAAAAGAGGCUCUAGCACUAUGUGACCAGCUAGGCUGAAGGUCCAAAGGAAUGAUUUCAUCGGCUACUCUGACCCUCACCCUUGGCAGACUGCUGUAUCCUAGGGGCACGUUGGAAACCACUGAUCAAG
Long non-coding RNA from Alligator sinensis (Chinese alligator), 1648 nucleotides. RefSeq lists it as uncharacterized. The record is from RefSeq and is a predicted model, not a curated record. Lineage: Eukaryota; Metazoa; Chordata; Crocodylia; Alligatoridae. The transcript has 3 exons.